Molecule: ribosomal RNA, 443 nt
Filed under: uncultured bacterium
Lineage: Bacteria
Description: partial 16S ribosomal RNA
Rfam family: Bacterial small subunit ribosomal RNA
Source: RNAcentral
CCUACGGGAGGCAGCAGUGAGGAAUAUUGGUCAAUGGCCGUAAGGCUGAACCAGCCAAGUCGCGUGAAGGACGAAGGAUCUAUGGUUUGUAAACCUCUUUUAUAGGGGAAGAGUAGAAGACGGUACCUGACGAAUAAGCCUCGGCUAACUACGUGCCAGCAGCCGCUGGAAUACGUAGGCGGCAAGCGUUGACCGGAUUUACUGGGUGUAAAGGGCGUGUAGCCGGGUUGACAAGUCAGAUGUGAAAUCCUGCGGCUUAACAGCAGAACUGCAUUUGAAACUGUUGAUCUUGAGUACUGGAGAGGCAGACGGAAUUCGUGGUGUAGCGGUGAAAUGCGUAGAUAUUAGGAGGAACUCCAGUGGCGAAGGCAGUAUGCUGGACAGCGACUGAUGGUGAGGCGCGAAAGCGUGGGGAGCGAACAGGAUUAGAUACCCUGGUAGUC